GUGCUUGCUUCAGUAGCACAUACACUGAAAUUGGAAUGAUACAGUUGCUCAAGGAUGAUGCACAAAUUUGUGAUGUGUUCCAUACUUUU
RNAcentral lists this small nuclear RNA (89 nucleotides) under Colobus angolensis palliatus. Lineage: Eukaryota; Metazoa; Chordata; Mammalia; Primates; Cercopithecidae. The record is from RNAcentral.